UACGAAGGGUGCAAGCGUUGUUCGGAAUUAUUGGGCGUAAAGCGCGCGUAGGCGGGUUGGCAAGUCGAUUGUGAAAGCCCUGGGCUUAACCUGGGAACUGCAGUCGAAACUGCCGAUCUUGAGUGCCUGAGAGGAUGGCGGAAUUCCCGGUGUAGUAGUGAAAUACGUAGAUAUCGGGAGGAACACCUGAGGCGAAGGCGGCUAUCUGGCGGUGCACUGACGCUGAGGCGCGAAAGCGUGGGGAGCAAACAGG
This 253-nucleotide ribosomal RNA is filed under the name uncultured bacterium. Its description in RNAcentral is "partial 16S ribosomal RNA". It matches the Rfam family "Bacterial small subunit ribosomal RNA", at positions 524 to 776 of the family's 1533-position model. The record is from RNAcentral.